RNAcentral lists this long non-coding RNA (1312 nucleotides) under Equus caballus (horse). RNAcentral describes it as "lncRNA (ENSECAG00000027838.3)". The record is from RNAcentral. Lineage: Eukaryota; Metazoa; Chordata; Mammalia; Perissodactyla; Equidae.
CAACAAGAAUAGACCAGCAGCGGGGGGGAGUUAGGGAGGGCCCAGGGAACAAAAUGACAAAACAGAGCUUUCCCACAUUUUCUACAUCGUGGCACACCAAUACAUCAUCGUCACCAGCGGAAGUGGGAGGCUCUUCAUAGAUUGAAAAGGGAAACUUCUUCCUGUGAGCAGUCCGUUCAUUUCUCUCCCAGACACAAGGCUGAAAUUUUAGUAUUACAGGAAUUUAAUCAGAUGCUCUCUCUCAGUUACUCAUGUUGGAAUUAGUGACCAGCUUAAACCCCAACGGCUUUUUCACAUUAACUGAUGUCAAGCCAGGUCAAGUUUUCCAGAAGGAGACCCCAAGACAAGGACUCACCUACAAGUGAUGUACUAAGGAGGUACACCCAGAAAAAACAAGUGAGGAAGGAUGAUGAAGCAAGAUAGAGAAGGGGGUCUUCUAGGAUGCCAGCCAAAUGGACAACGCCAGAGUGAAGACCCAGGAGAUGAAAUCGGAUCAAGUGGGAAGAGUAGCAUAAGGAAUCUAAAGUGGAACAAGGGUUGACAAUCCGUCCGCUUAAAAAUAAUAACCUCUGUAUAUUCCCUUGCAACUAGAUGUGGCCAUGUGAUUCAGUCCUGGUCAAUGAGAUAUAAAUGGUAUUUGCCAGCUAUGGCCUCCAGGAAAGCACUUUAAAGAUUCAGCUUUAUCUUGUCUGGAGCACAGACAUGCUGUAUGAGAUGUAGCAGCCAUCUUGUAUCCAUAAGAGCAUGCUAAAGAUGGCCGUGAACACCUCUUACAAAAACCACCCUGUCAAGAAAUAAAAAACUGCCAUUACUCCAGAAAUCUCUCAUGAGUCCUUUCUUGAACACAACCUCUGCUCCCCCCCCCCCCAGAAAUAACCACUACCCUUCUCAGUCUCUCUUAUUUUUGGCAUUCUUCAACCCCACAUACAUACACACUCAACACACAUAUGCACAAACAUUCCUUUUCAAAAUGGCAUUUGGAUGUAAGGAGUAGGCGAUUCAAGUGUCCUUGGCAAUGACAGAGUGGUGUCCUCAGACCUACACAGUCUCCCUUAAUGGUGUACCCAUUUUCACGAGAGAGAAUAUCAAGACCCACAUGUCCUACAAUUCCCUUUUCUGCCUCGGUGUUUCUUUCUCUGUCUGCCUCCUCUUUGCCCUUAAAACAUCUCAUUGGAAGGGACAGUCUUUCUUUUGUCUCAUAUUCUCCUUCUUCCCAACUCCAGCCACAAGGUCAAGCCUUAAUGAAGAUAAAUAUUUCUUUCUUUACUAAAUAAGAGAAACCCUAGGAAGACUGGCCUUUGCUAUGCUACAC